AGUCGAGGGGCAGCAUGGUCUUAGCUUGCUAAGGCCGAUGGCGACCGGCGCACGGGUGAGUAACACGUAUCCAACCUGCCGUCUACUCUUGGACAGCCUUCUGAAAGGAAGAUUAAUACAAGAUGGCAUCAUGAGUCCGCAUGUUCACAUGAUUAAAGGUAUUCCGGUAGACGAUGGGGAUGCGUUCCAUUAGAUAGUAGGCGGGGUAACGGCCCACCUAGUCUUCGAUGGAUAGGGGUUCUGAGAGGAAGGUCCCCCACAUUGGAACUGAGACACGGUCCAAACUCCUACGGGAGGCAGCAGUGAGGAAUAUUGGUCAAUGGGCGAGAGCCUGAACCAGCCAAGUAGCGUGAAGGAUGACUGCCCUAUGGGUUGUAAACUUCUUUUAUAAUGGAAUAAAGUCGGGUAUGCAUACCCGUUUGCAUGUACUUUAUGAAUAAGGAUCGGCUAACUCCGUGCCAGCAGCCGCGGUAAUACGGAGGAUCCGAGCGUUAUCCGGAUUUAUUGGGUUUAAAGGGAGCGUAGAUGGAUGUUUAAGUCAGUUGUGAAAGUUUGCGGCUCAACCGUAAAAUUGCAGUUGAUACUGGAUAUCUUGAGUGCAGUUGAGGCAGGCGGAAUUCGUGGUGUAGCGGUGAAAUGCUUAGAUAUCACGAAGAACUCCGAUUGCGAAGGCAGCCUGCUAAGCUGCAACUGACAUUGA
This 700-nucleotide ribosomal RNA is filed under the name uncultured bacterium. RNAcentral describes it as "bacterial SSU rRNA". It matches the Rfam family "Bacterial small subunit ribosomal RNA", at positions 60 to 749 of the family's 1533-position model. The record is from RNAcentral.